RNAcentral lists this ribosomal RNA (353 nucleotides) under uncultured bacterium. RNAcentral describes it as "partial 16S ribosomal RNA". It matches the Rfam family "Bacterial small subunit ribosomal RNA", at positions 338 to 708 of the family's 1533-position model. The record is from RNAcentral.
CCUACGGGAGGCAGCAGUGGGGAAUAUUGCACAAUGGGGGAAACCCUGAUGCAGCGACGCCGCGUGAGUGAAGAAGUAUUUCGGUAUGUAAAGCUCUAUCAGCAGGGAAGAAAAUGACGGUACCUGACUAAGAAGCCCCGGCUAACUACGUGCCAGCAGCCGCGGUAAUACGUAGGGGGCAAGCGUUAUCCGGAUUUACUGGGUGUAAAGGGAGCGUAGACGGCUGAGCAAGUCUGAAGUGAAAGCCCGCGGCCCAACCGGCGGACUGCAUUUGAAACUGGCCGGCUAGAGUGCUGGAGAGGUAAGCGGAAUUCCUGGUGUAGCGGUGAAAUGCGUAGAUAUUAAGAAGAACA